RNAcentral lists this ribosomal RNA (307 nucleotides) under uncultured bacterium. RNAcentral describes it as "partial 16S ribosomal RNA". It matches the Rfam family "Bacterial small subunit ribosomal RNA", at positions 506 to 807 of the family's 1533-position model. The record is from RNAcentral.
AGACAGCAGUCGCCGCGGUAAUACGAGGGGAGCUAGCGUUGUUCGGAAUUACUGGGCGUAAAGCGCGCGUAGGCGGCUUUUUAAGUCAGAGGUGAAAGCCCGGGGCUCAACCCCGGAAUUGCCUUUGAAACUGGAAAGCUAGAAUCUUGGAGAGGUCAGUGGAAUUCCGAGUGUAGAGGUGAAAUUCGUAGAUAUACGGAAGAACACCAGUGGCGAAGGCGACUGACUGGACAAGUAUUGACGCUGAGGUGCGAAAGCGUGGGGAGCAAACAGGAUUAGAUACCCCUGUAGUCCCUGUCUCUUAUAC